Molecule: ribosomal RNA, 405 nt
Filed under: uncultured bacterium
Lineage: Bacteria
Description: bacterial SSU rRNA
Rfam family: Bacterial small subunit ribosomal RNA
Source: RNAcentral
CGGGCUUGAAAGUUAGUGAAUGUUUUGGAAACAGAACAGGCUCGCAAGAGACACGAAACUAGGUGCUGCAUGGUUGUCGUCAGCUCGUGCCGUGAGGUGUCGGCUUAAGUGCCAUAACGAGCGCAACCCCUGUUGUUAGUUGCCAUCAGGUGAAGCUGGGCACUCUAACGAGACUGCUACUGUAAGGUAGAGGAGGGUGGGGAUGACGUCAAAUCAGCACGGCCCUUACGUCCGGGGCGACACACGUGUUACAAUGGUCGGUACAGAGGGUUGCUACCUGGCGACAGGAUGCUAAUCUCAUAAAACCGGCCUCAGUUCGGAUCGGAGUCUGCAACUCGACUCCGUGAAGCUGGAUUCGCUAGUAAUCGCGCAUCAGCCAUGGCGCGGUGAAUACGUUCCCGGGCC